AAUGGCGCACCUCCUAAACCACACUCACCGCUGAACCAGAACUUAGAAACCUUAACUUAGGCCACCCGGUGCAGAAAUGGGAUUGACAUCGGCGGAGACCAGUUCUACUGCAUUUACAGCUAUGAUGGUAGAGCAUCUCAAACUCCAGCAGGAUCCUUGCUACCCUGUUGAAGUUCCUGAUGAUCCUCUUGGCCUCUGGUGUGGAAAGAACUCCAGGAUGCUACACAGGAAUAUAAUGACUCUCCUGUGCUCCAGCCAAAACAGACACAAAGCUUUCCAGUGAUGAUAUGAACUCCUGUUUGACAGCCUGGGCCUGGGGACUGGCCAGCUCCCCCCAGCCAUGGUUCAUCUUCCUCAGUGUGGGG
Long non-coding RNA from Lates calcarifer (barramundi perch), 365 nucleotides. RefSeq lists it as uncharacterized. Lineage: Eukaryota; Metazoa; Chordata; Actinopteri; Centropomidae. The record is from RefSeq and is a predicted model, not a curated record. The transcript is spliced from 3 exons.